Molecule: unclassified non-coding RNA, 265 nt
Filed under: Hevea brasiliensis (rubber tree)
Lineage: Eukaryota; Viridiplantae; Streptophyta; Magnoliopsida; Malpighiales; Euphorbiaceae
Source: RNAcentral
AGACAAUCUUACGACAGGUCACGACCUAGAGGAGAGCAGUUGCUAGUUCGAUGGGCUAUUCCACGGCUGCAUGAUAUAGAUGCAUUAUCAAGAAUGGUUGAUCCUUCCCUAAAUGGUUGUUAUCCAUCCAAGUCUUUGUCUCGGUUUGCUGACAUAAUUUCCUUGUGUAUUCAGUCGGAACCUGAAUUCAGGCCACCAAUUUCCGAAAUCGUGCAGAAUCUUCUGCAGAUGAUCUAAAGAUACCAUCAAGAACUCUGUCUUUUAG